RNAcentral lists this ribosomal RNA (500 nucleotides) under uncultured bacterium. Its description in RNAcentral is "partial 16S ribosomal RNA". It matches the Rfam family "Bacterial small subunit ribosomal RNA", at positions 30 to 523 of the family's 1533-position model. The record is from RNAcentral.
AUUGAACGCUGGCGGCAUGCCUUACACAUGCAAGUCGAACGGCAGCACGGGAGCAAUCCUGGUGGCGAGUGGCGAACGGGCGAGUAAAGUAUCGGAACGUGCCCAGUCGUGGGGGAUCACGUAGCGAAAGUUACGCUAAUACCGCAUACGAUCUAUGGAUGAAAGCGGGGGAUCGCAAGACCUCGCGCGAUUGGAGCGGCCGAUAUCAGAUUAGGUAGUUGAUGGGGUAAAGGCUCACCAAGCCGACGAUCUGUAGCUGGUCUGAGAGGACGACCAGCCACACUGGGACUGAGACACGGCCCAGACUCCUACGGGAGGCAGCAGUGGGGAAUUUUGGACAAUGGGCGAAAGCCUGAUCCAGCCAUGCCGCGUGCAGGAUGAAGGCCUUCGGGUUGUAAACUGCUUUUGUACGGAACGAAAAGGUUUGGCCUAAUAAGCUGAGCUCAUGACGGUACCGUAAGAAUAAGCACCGGCUAACUACGUGCCAGCAGCCGCCGUAA